This 255-nucleotide ribosomal RNA is filed under the name uncultured bacterium. RNAcentral describes it as "partial 16S ribosomal RNA". It matches the Rfam family "Bacterial small subunit ribosomal RNA", at positions 331 to 604 of the family's 1533-position model. The record is from RNAcentral.
UUUGACCUACGGGGGGCAGCAGUGGGGGAUAUUGCACAAUGGGGGAAACCCUGAUGCAGCGACGCCGCGUGUGGGAAGACGGUCCUCUGGAUUGUAAACCACUGUCCCCAGGGACGAAAAUGACGGUACCUGGGGAGGAAGCUCCGGCUAACUACGUGCCAGCAGCCGCGGUAAUACGUAGGGAGCGAGCGUUGUCCGGAAUUACUGGGUGUAAAGGGAGCGUAGACGGCAUUGCAAGUCCGGAGUGAAAGCCCA